CCUACCUAUAAGACUGGGAUAACUUCGGGAAACCGGAGCUAAUACCGGAUAAUAUUUCGAACCGCAUGGUUCGAUAGUGAAAGAUGGUUUUGCUAUCACUUAUAGAUGGACCCGCGCCGUAUUAGCUAGUUGGUAAGGUAACGGCUUACCAAGGCGACGAUACGUAGCCGACCUGAGAGGGCGAUCGGCCACACUGGAACUGAGACACGGUCCAG
RNAcentral lists this ribosomal RNA (215 nucleotides) under uncultured Staphylococcus sp. Its description in RNAcentral is "partial 16S ribosomal RNA". It matches the Rfam family "Bacterial small subunit ribosomal RNA", at positions 125 to 334 of the family's 1533-position model. The record is from RNAcentral. Lineage: Bacteria; Bacillati; Bacillota; Bacilli; Caryophanales; Staphylococcaceae.